Molecule: ribosomal RNA, 384 nt
Filed under: Gaidropsarus mediterraneus (shore rockling)
Lineage: Eukaryota; Metazoa; Chordata; Actinopteri; Gadiformes; Gaidropsaridae
Description: partial 16S ribosomal RNA
Rfam family: Bacterial large subunit ribosomal RNA
Source: RNAcentral
CGCCUGCCCUGUGACUAUAAGUUUAACGGCCGCGGUAUUUUAACCGUGCGAAGGUAGCGUAAUCACUUGUCUUUUAAAUGAAGACCUGUAUGAAUGGCAUCACGAGGGCUUAGCUGUCUCCCCCCUCCAGUCAAUGAAAUUGAUCUCCCCGUGCAGAAGCGGGGAUAAUUACAUAAGACGAGAAGACCCUGUGGAGCUUUAGACCUAAAAUAAUUCACGUUUUAACACUCUGUCACAACCAGUAAAAACUUAGUGCUACUUAUUGAGGUGUCUUUGGUUGGGGCGACCGCGGGGAAAAACACAACCCCCAUGUGGACCGGGGAUACUAUCCCUAAUACUCAGAGCCUUCUACUCCAAGUAACAGAAAUUCUGACUUUUCUGAUC